Molecule: ribosomal RNA, 301 nt
Filed under: uncultured bacterium
Lineage: Bacteria
Description: partial 16S ribosomal RNA
Rfam family: Bacterial small subunit ribosomal RNA
Source: RNAcentral
CAGUCGCCACGGUAAUACGAAGGGUGCAAGUGUUAAUCGGAAUUACUGGGCGUAAAGCGCGCGUAGGUGGUUCAUUAAGUUGGAUGUGAAAGCCCUGGGCUCAACCUGGGAACUGCAUCCAAAACUGGUGAGCUAGAGUACGGUAGAGGGUAGUGGAACUUCCUGUGUAGCGGUGAAAUGCGUAGAUAUAGGAAGGAACACCAGUGGCGAAGGCGACUACCUGGACUGAUACUGACACUGAGGCGCGAAAGCGUGGGGAGCAAACAGGAUUAGAUACCCCCGUAGUCCCUGUCUCUUAUAC